UCGGCGCAGCAUGCGAUCGCAGCAGGGGCCAUCUCGGUGGGCUCUGUUGAGGAACGUCCGGGCACGACAGGGCGCAACGGUGAUCCGGCAUCUCGAAAGAGUCGCUUGGUCACCCGGCUAGAGCACGCUCCGGAGUGGAGCACUGGUCGAGGGAAAGUGCCACAGAAAACACACCGCCGAUGGCUCGCAGUCUGUUCGAUGCGGGAUCAGGUAAGGUUGAAAAGGUGCGGUAAGAGCGCACCGCCCGGCUGGUGACAGUCGGGGCACGGUAAACCCCGUUGCGUGCAAGGUCAUGCAGUGUCCGCACCGCAAGGUGACGACCGGCCCGGUCGGAAGGACGCGGGUAGACCGCAGGGAGCAAUCCCGCGUUGUGAUCCGUCUUUGAUGGGUCACAACGCAGAGAAAUGAUCGCGCUGCUGGACAGGCACUCGCAAUCGCGCCGGAGCGCGCGAGUGAACCAGCCAGCGGACAGAACCCGGCGUAUCGCUGCGUCAUGCUC
This 499-nucleotide RNase P RNA is filed under the name Phycisphaeraceae bacterium. RNAcentral's name for it is "RNase P RNA component class A". It matches the Rfam family "Bacterial RNase P class A". From Rfam's summary of the family: Ribonuclease P (RNase P) is a ubiquitous endoribonuclease, found in archaea, bacteria and eukarya as well as chloroplasts and mitochondria. Its best characterised activity is the generation of mature 5'-ends of tRNAs by cleaving the 5'-leader elements of precursor-tRNAs. Lineage: Bacteria; Pseudomonadati; Planctomycetota; Phycisphaerae; Phycisphaerales; Phycisphaeraceae. The record is from RNAcentral. RNAcentral also lists the same sequence under 1 other name.